RNAcentral lists this long non-coding RNA (1167 nucleotides) under Anolis carolinensis (green anole). RNAcentral's name for it is "lncRNA (ENSACAG00000036895.1)". Lineage: Eukaryota; Metazoa; Chordata; Lepidosauria; Squamata; Anolidae. The record is from RNAcentral.
GGGAAAACAAGGCUGGAAUCCGAGAAGCAGGGUCCGUGGUUUAAAACGCAAGGCAAGGCAAGACUUGAGACUUGGCAAGGUUCAUCUUGUAACAAGGCAAUCGUGGAACAAGAACUGAGUCCAUAGAAAUCCGUGGAACAAGGCAGGGCGGGAAACUUGGUUCAGGAGCUGGGAACUGGGGUACGAAGUCUACACACGAUCUCACUCCACGAGCUGACGAAUUGACUCCGCAAGGAAUCCUUUGUGGCCAAACAUCUAUAUAGGAUCUUGUUUUCCCGCCAAAGCACACUUUCCCUGGGGAACAAGAACCGAAACCUAUACUGUCCAGAUGCAGGACUCCUUAAACUUUCCCAAGGGAAACAGACUUAAUCAUCUAAUUGUCUGGCAGCUAUCCGGGCGCUUCGGCGAGUCGCCUCCCGAGCGCGUCUAUCUUGAUUAUAAUAAAGGCGGCGAGAAAAUGGGGGAGAUUUCUGCUCAAGGCUUGUUUGGCUGACUUCUUGUGGGCAAACAUCCUGCAGCUGCAAGGGCUCCGAAUCUGGCAGAAACGGUGGGAAACCCAAGUUUUCCUCUUCAUCUGUCACAACAGUACUAGGAACGGGACUACAUGGCCCAUGAGUCAUCACAAUUAUAGAACUCCAAUAUGCCGAUGACAACGUAGUCUGUGCGCAUUCAGAAGAAGACCUACAAGCCAUUCUAAACAUACGAGAAGCUCGGCCUCUCAUUGAACAUCGAGAAAACCAAAGUGCUCUUCCAACAGGCACCAGCUAAUCCCUCUGCAAAGCCAGGAAUACAGCUUAAUGGUGUCACAUUAGAAAACAUUGACCAUUUCGCUCCCUUGGCAGCCAGGAUUAGCUGGUGCCUGUUGGAAGAGCACUGUGGUUUUCUCGAUGAGAGGCCGAGCUUCUCGUUUGCUUCUGCGAAGGCGUUUAGAGUGGCUUGUAGGUCUUCUUCUGAGUGCGCACAGACUACGUUGUCAUCGGCAUAUUGGAGUUCUAUAACAGAUGUUGUGGUGACCUUGGUUUUGGCUCUCAGUCUGCUGAGGUUAAAUAGUUUGCCAUCUGUCUGAUAGAUGAUUUCCACUCCGAUGGGAAGCUUCCCAUCAACAAGGUGAAGUAUCAUAGCGAUGAAGAUGGAAAAUAAGGUCGGGGCAAGAACACAUCCCUGCUU